UUAUGAGAGUUCGAUCCUGGCUCAGGAUGAACGCUGGCGGCGUGCCUAACACAUGCAAGUCGAACGGGAUGCGUAUCGGAAAGCUUCGGCCGGAAGAUACGUUAUCUAGUGGCGGACGGGUGAGUAACACGUGGGUAACCUGCCUUAUGGAGGGGGAUAACAGAGAGAAAUCACUGCUAAUACCGCAUAAGCACACAGUACCGCAUGGUACAGGGUGAAAAGAUUUAUCACCAUAAGAU
RNAcentral lists this ribosomal RNA (239 nucleotides) under Lachnospiraceae bacterium. RNAcentral describes it as "partial 16S ribosomal RNA". It matches the Rfam family "Bacterial small subunit ribosomal RNA", at positions 1 to 226 of the family's 1533-position model. Lineage: Bacteria; Bacillati; Bacillota; Clostridia; Lachnospirales; Lachnospiraceae. The record is from RNAcentral.